This is a ribosomal RNA of 387 nucleotides. It matches the Rfam family "Eukaryotic small subunit ribosomal RNA", at positions 582 to 975 of the family's 1831-position model.
AUUCCAGCUCCAAUAGCGUAUAUUAAAGUUGUUGCAGUUAAAAAGCUCGUAGUUGGAUUUCGGGAUGGGUCAGUCGGUCUGCCGCAAGGUAUGUUACUGGCUUGCCUGUUCUUCUUCGCAAAGACUGCGUAUAGGCUUCAAUGCACGUGCGUAGGAUUUACGACGUUUACUUUGAAAAAAUUAGAGUGUUCAAAGCAGGCUAUCGCUUGAAUACAUGAGCAUGGAAUAAUGGAAUAGGACUUUGGUUCUAUUUUGUUGGUUUCUAGGACCGAAGUAAUGAUUAAGAGGGACAAUUGGGGGCAUCCGUAUUUCGUUGUCAGAGGUGAAAUUCUUGGAUUUACGAAAGACGAACAACUGCGAAAGCACUUGCCAAGAGUGUUUUCAUUA